AUUUGGCUCACUGCAUAGCUGACCUUGUCUGAGCUUGGAAACUAAGCAGACUUGGACCUGGUUAGUACUUGGAUGGGAGACCACCAGGUAAUCCCAGAAAGGGAGAAUA
This 109-nucleotide ribosomal RNA is filed under the name Salvator merianae (Argentine black and white tegu). The record is from RNAcentral. Lineage: Eukaryota; Metazoa; Chordata; Lepidosauria; Squamata; Teiidae.